RNAcentral lists this ribosomal RNA (408 nucleotides) under Loxosceles rufescens. Its description in RNAcentral is "partial 16S ribosomal RNA". It matches the Rfam family "Archaeal large subunit ribosomal RNA", at positions 1950 to 2670 of the family's 2987-position model. Lineage: Eukaryota; Metazoa; Arthropoda; Arachnida; Araneae; Sicariidae. The record is from RNAcentral.
CCUGCCCAAUGUUCUUAAAUAGCCGCAGUUUCCUGUGCUAAGGUAGCGCAAUAACUUGCCUUCUAAUUAAAGGAUCGUAUGAAAGGACACAUGACUUUCUUAUUUUCUCAUAUAUUUUAAAAUAAAUUUAACCUACAAGUAAAAAGACUUGUAUUAACAAGAAAGACGACAAGACCCUAUAGAACUUCACUAUUGUUAAACUGGGGUGGUCAACAACAAAAGCUUAUCUUCCCAAACCACACAAAGACCUGAAACUUUCAACAAAGAACAAGUUACCUUAGGGAUAACAGAGUAAUUCCUCUCUAGACCUGUUCCAAAGAGGAGCUUUCUACCUCGAUGUUGAAUUUAAUAUUACUUCAUAAAUAAACAUUAUACAAGUAGGUCUGUUCGACCUUUAAAAUAUUACAU